GAGUUAUACUAGUUGUUCUUGCAUUCAGAAUUAAUUUUGGACUGUUAAAUUUUGGGAUUUAUGGAAUAUGUUCUUGUUAUGCAAAUGUGUUCUACCUUCUAGUGAAACUUGCCUGCCUGACUGCGUUAGUCUGGUUGUGGCUUCCUGUUUGAUCGUGCCUGAUUGUGUAGCUGCGUUUUCCAUCCAUGCAACUCGGAGAAUUCUUACCUAGUAUGCAUGUGGCUUCCAUUGGACUAAGGGAGUAAAUGCACUCACUAUUGCCUUAAAAUGAAAUUUUUCACUUUGUAAUGUAGAAUAAGAAAAUGUGAUAUAGUAGAUAGAUUCUUGUAAUGGAAUUUAAUGACUGUUUAAUAUGAUUUCACUUACAUAUUUGAUUGAAACUGUUGUUUCUCAUAAUUAAGAUAAUAAAUUUUUGUGAUUGUAAUAUUUAGUUGAUUUUCAUGUUAUAUAUCUGGAAAGUAAAUGUCACUUUCUUGUCCUUCAGGCCAUGUUUUGGAGACGAAGGAAAUGUGGGACGUUGCUGAUUGAGGUGGCCCCAUGUCACCGUUGACAGAUGUUAGCGGCAGUGUGACAGUUUUGAGUGAAUGAAGUGGAAAAAGCCAGCAUGAUAUGUUGAUGAGUGUUGGUGAUAAAUGUUCUACACGCGGGUAAGUUAGAGACACGCAAGUAGUCCUAGUGACGGUGGAAAUGAUACUCCCCCACGAUAACUGCAUUAUGAGGUAACGUGUAUAUAAGUUAGUUGUUCUGAUCGUGUAGUCUUAUUUGACAAGUAUUACAUUUUGUUUUUAAGUAAAUGUCAUAUUUAUGGGAACGGCUUUAUCCUUCAUGUGUCAGGACCAUGAAUGUCUCAUAUGUGCUUUUGCCUGCCUUUUAACUGCAUGGCUAUUAUUCAGCAUGUGUAAACCUGCUUUUCUCUGCCUCUUUCUGCCUGUCUGCCUGCCCACCCGCCUGAUUUCCUCUUUCAACGUUCUAGAUGGCAUUGUUCUUAUCUAGCAUUCCUGGGGCUCCCUUUGAAUAAGGAGGUAGAAAACACGGUAUUGUCGACAUAAUUUUUUUUUUCAGUUAAUAAUGUAUUGUUGAAUCAAGUCAUAAUAGAAAUUGUGGCAGUGGUAAAUUGCUUUGACACACAUAUUUAACAUGAUCGGUUCUCUUAUAAUUAAGCUAAUUAUGUAUUUGUCAUUGUAAUAUUCUAGUGGAGCUUCAUCAUAUAUUUCCUUGAAGUAAGAGACAUUAUUCUUUUAUUUGAGGUUAAUUUUGGAGAAUUAGAAAACCUUCACGGGCUUUUCUGCUUGUUGAGUCCUGCGUGACACGUUUAUGAACUGAUUUGCAAUGAGACCGAUCUGAUUGUAUGAACACGCAAAAGCGUCAGUGAUGUGUUUUUUCUAGAGAUGUGGAGGAAAAUGGAUGAACCACUGGUCAAGUUAUGUCACACAAUUGUCUUAAUUGUGGAAAUAGGAAUGCCACACCAUACCAUGAUUUAUGAGGAAAGUUGUAGAGCUGCAGUCCCUCCUAUAGGAGUUAUAUUAGUUGUUCUCUACUUUCACACUUAAUUUUGAUCUGUUAUAUAUUUGGUUUUAAGGAGCAUGUGGUUGUUAUGCAAAUGUGUUCUUCCUUGUAGUGAUACAUGACUGCCUGCCUGCCUUAGGCUGCUUGUGGCUUCCCCUUUGACCCUGCCAGAUUGCAUUCCUGCCUUUGCCAUCCAUUCAGCUCAAGAGUAUUCUCACCUUGUAUGCAUGUGGCUUCCAUUGGACUAAGGGAGUAAAUGCACUCACUAUUGCCUUAAAAUGAAAUUUUCACUUUGUAAUGUAAGAUAAGGAAUUGUGAUAUAGUUGAUUUAAUUUGUAAUGGAAAUUGAUGACUGUUAAAUAUGAUUUUACAUACAUAUAAGAUAAAACUGUUGUUUGUCAUAAUUAAGAUAAUACAUUUUUGUGAUUGUGAUAUUUAGAUGAGUUUCAUUUCUUGUCCUUCAGGCCAUAUUUUGGAGACAAAGGAAAUGUUGGAAGUUGCUGAUUGUGGUGGCCCUGUGUCACCGUUGACAGAUGUUAGCAACAGUGAGACUGUUGUCACUGAAUGAAGAGGCAAAAGAAACUAUGAUGUAGUGAUGAGUGUUGGUAUUAAAUGUCUACUCCUGGGUAUUUUAGAGAGACACAAGUGGUCCUUGUGACGGUGGAAAUGAUCCUGCCACACCAUACCAGCAUUACGAUGGAACAUGUACAUCAGCAAUUCCUCCUGCUGGUGUUAAAGGAGUUUCAUCAUACAUGCAAAAGCUUCAGUGAUGUGUUUUGUAGAGAACUGGAGGAAAAUGGAUCAACCACAGGUCAUGUUAUGUCGCACAAGUGUCUUAAUGAGGGAAAUAGUAAUGCCACACCAUAGCAUCAUUUAUUAGUGAUGCUUGCCUGCCUGCCUUGUUUAGUCUGCUUGUGGCUUCUCCUUUGAUCCUGCCAGAUUGCGUACCUGCCUUUGCCUUCCAUGCAGCUCAGAAGUUUCUCACCUAGUAUGCAUGUGGCUUCCAUUGGUCUAAGGGAGUAAAACCACUCACUAUUGCCUUAAAAUAAGAAAUCGUGAUAGGUAGAGUGGAGUGUAUUAGGGAUGCUAACACCUAUUUAAGAAGGAUUGGUUGUAGUGUUACCUUUUACUUUAUUGUAAACAAUAAUUGUUAUUCAUAACUAAAUAUGUAUAAAACAUAGCUGUAGAAGAAUUAAAUUAUAUUAUGGUCUCUUCACACUUAUAGACAAGAGUAUUGCUGGAUACUCUGUACAUUGUUCAUAGUAUCACUUGCAUAUAUUUAUAAUAUUGUCGCGUAUUGGGCGUAUGACGCGACAAAUAACUUCACGCCAUAUUUGAUGUAGCGA
Molecule: long non-coding RNA, 2852 nt
Organism: Cryptotermes secundus
Lineage: Eukaryota; Metazoa; Arthropoda; Insecta; Blattodea; Kalotermitidae
Exons: 3
Source: RefSeq, a predicted model, not a curated record